This 1437-nucleotide long non-coding RNA is filed under the name Anolis carolinensis (green anole). Its description in RNAcentral is "lncRNA (ENSACAG00000044492.1)". The record is from RNAcentral. Lineage: Eukaryota; Metazoa; Chordata; Lepidosauria; Squamata; Anolidae.
UGCCUCCUUAUUAUCCAACAUAUUCUCUUAUCCAACAUUCUGCCGGCCCAUUUAUGUUGGAUAAGUGCGACUCUACUGUAUUUGUAUGUAUGUAUUUUUAUCCUUUUUAUCUUGUAAAUCGCCUAGAGCAGGGGUCCUCAAACUUUUUAAUCCGAGGGCCGGUCCACAAUCCUUCAGACUGUUGAGGGGCCGGAUUAUCAUUUGAAAAAAAAAAAAACAAAUUCUGAUGCACACUGCACCUGUCUUAUUUGUAGUGCAAAAACAACAAUAACAACAACAACAACAACAACAACAACAGCAACAAUGAAAGAACAAUACAAUAUUUUAAAAUAAAAAUAAUUUUAACCAACAUACAUUUAUCAGGAUUUCAAUGGGAGGUGUGCUUCUGCUUCUGGGCAAUGAGAUAGUCAAGUUAAUUAGGGUUGUUGUUGUUGUUGUUGUGUGCCUUCAAGUCAUUUCAGACUUUGGGCGAGCCUAAGUCUAAAAUGUAUGUAUUUAUUUAUUUAAUGCAUUUAUUUACUACAUUUGCAUCACACCCUUCUCACCCCAAAGGGGACUCAGAGUGGCUUACAAAUUAUAUGUACAUACAAUAUAUUAUAUUAUUAGCAUAGCACAAUAUCAGCAUUAUAUAUUACUUUAUUGAACUAUACCACUAUACUAUAAUAUUAUUAGUAAUAUUAUAUGUAAUAUAGAAUAUAUAAUUAAUAUUAUUAUAUGGCAUUAUUAUUAGUGUUAUAUUGUAUUACAUUAUAAUAUUAUUAUCAAUAUUAUAUUUAUAUACAAUAUAUUAUAUUAUAAAACUGAGGGCAGGGGCCAGGUAAAUGACCUCGGAGGGCCACAUCCGGCCCCCGGGCCUUAGUUUGGGGACCCCUGGCCUAGAGCAUCGUGGAUGGAGGGCGAUUAAUAAGUAAUUAAAUGAUGAUGAUGAUGAUGAUGAUGAUGAUAAGAAGACCAAGUCAAUUUUGCCUGUCCAAAGGAACCACUAGAAAAUCUAUCAGAGAUUAGGACGGACUAUGUUGCCAUUCAUCUGAGAGUAGACGUGGGCUCUUUCUGGCUUUCCAAGUAGAAUUGUAAUAUUCCUUGUCAUUGGCUGUUUUGGCUAAGACCUCUGGAUUUAUAAUCUGUCAACAUCUAAAUGUUUCUCACUCUGCUCUUGGAGAAAUGUUGAGCAGGGUUAUCCAAACUGAGAGUAGUUUUCAUCAUAUAAGCAAUUCUAUUGUAAUUCACUGGUCUGAUAUUUUCUGUAGAUUGUAAGCUAACUGCAAUGAACUGGGGGGCAGUGCUUUAAGAAAACCCUUAUCCUGCAAACAGCUGUAAGGCAUUAUCUCUGACAGAUACACAGGAGCCUUCUAUGAACUGAAAUCCCCAAAUUCCUCCCUACCUUUUUUUAUCUGCUUACCUCCCAUUUGUCAUAACCUCUGUUUGCCCAUCUUGUGG